Molecule: long non-coding RNA, 647 nt
Organism: Dreissena polymorpha
Lineage: Eukaryota; Metazoa; Mollusca; Bivalvia; Myida; Dreissenidae
Exons: 4
Source: RefSeq, a predicted model, not a curated record
GCGGGUUUGUGGCAUGCACAAAAUAUACACAAAUCUUGACCAUAUUACAAUCGAGUGUGUAUCCAGGCUUAUAACAGUUCCCCGGUUGCGCUGUUUAAAAAUCAUACACUCGGUAUUUAUAUCAUUUAGUGAAAGUAAGUUGGAAAAAUGGAGUUUCGAGCGAACAAACGCAUUUAACUAAGUAGCCAAAAGGGUCCAAGUCCCCUUGAUCUCGCAAGAACGUACUGCCAGAAUUACGUUGAUCCACCAUGUUUUGAAGUAAAAACCGUCAAUGAUGUCAUAGGCGAAGGAGUCUUUGCCACUAAGCCUUUUAAAAAGGGAGACUUUCUUCUCGAAUACAAAGGGGAUCUGAUAACACGAGUAAAACAUGCACGGUAAUUAGAAAAGGAGUAUGAAAAGGAGGUUCAAGUCAGCUUCAUGUACUUUUUAAAUACAGAGACAAAUCUUGCUGCAUUGACGCUACCAACGAUAUAUUUCAUGAGGGUCGAAUGAUAAAUGAUGCCGAAAAUGGAGACGCAAAACAAAUUUGUGUAAUGAAAAUAGUUGAAGUCAACCAAACUCCCCAUCUAUGCACUUUCGCCGACAGAGACAUUGCAAUUGGCGAGGAACUCCGAUAUGAUUAUGGAGUACCAACUCUUCCAUGGAGA